UGCAGUCGAACGCGAAGCACCUUCGGGUGUUAGUAGAGUGGCGGACGGGUGAGUAAUGCUUGGGAAUCUGCCUAGUAGUGGGGGAUAACUCGAGGAAACUCGAGCUAAUACCGCAUACGCCCUACGGGGGAAAGAUUUAUCGCUAUUAGAUGAGCCCAAGUCAGAUUAGCUAGUUGGUAGGGUAAUGGCCUACCAAGGCGACGAUCUGUAGCUGGUCUGAGAGGACGAACAGCCACACUGGGACUGAGACACGGCCCAGACUCCUACGGGAGGCAGCAGUGGGGAAUAUUGGACAAUGGGCGCAAGCCUGAUCCAGCAAUGCCGCGUGUGUGAAGAAGGCCUGCGGGUUGUAAAGCACUUUCAGUGGGGAAGAAAAGCCUGGGGUGAAUACCCUCGGGUCUUGACGUUACCCACAGAAGAAGCACCGGCUAACUCCGUGCCAGCAGCCGCGGUAAUACG
This 459-nucleotide ribosomal RNA is filed under the name uncultured bacterium. Its description in RNAcentral is "bacterial SSU rRNA". It matches the Rfam family "Bacterial small subunit ribosomal RNA", at positions 56 to 527 of the family's 1533-position model. The record is from RNAcentral.